CGUCUCCAAACAUUGAACAGUAUUGUAACAGCAUAGAGAGGGGUGAAAGAUACAAAAGGUACAUUCAGUCUCAUUAAUCGAAAAUAACGUAAGAAAAAUCUGCCACUAUGGUUUACUUGUUAUAUAAAUAACGUAGUAAAAUAUUGACCGUGACUUUUUGAAAGUAUGCAGUAAAGGAAAUACGCAAAUUCGUAACACCAAUUAACAACGAAAUGUCAUUUGUUAACCUAUGUGUAAAAACUGCAAAUUAGUGUUCCUUUAAUUGAUCCUGCUGAGUAGCUGAAAUAAUUAUACAAGGUAGGUGACUUUGUAAAAAUAAAAUCGUAUCACUGUAUCAUUAUGAAAAAAAGGGUGAUUAUAUUUUGAUUUUGAUCAUUUCAAUGAAUAAGAAAAGUAUAUUGUACAAACAAUAUUGCAAAGCUUGCUUGAUACAUCUAUUACUUUUAAUAGUUAUGAAAUAACACUCUUUCCAAAUGUUAUUAAAUUCAGCAAUGCUUUAAAAAGUAAAAUCACAAAAAUACUGAACUUAGAGGAAAAUCCAAUCGGAAAGUCCAUAAUCACAUGGCAAAAUCAAAUAACAAAACACAUCAAAAACGAAUGGACAAGAACUAUUAUAUUCCUGACUUUGUUAAACAUACAUAAAAAAAUGUUCCUCUUAAAUUCAUUUGAAUUUUGUUUUGAGGUUAUAGUUUACUAAGUUUUGUUCUUGAUAUUACCCUAUAGUUAACUGUAUUGUUUUUCUCGUCUCAUUUUAUGGUACCAUAUUAAGAUCCAAUGUGAAGGUAACAGUUAUUCUGGCUAUUGGCCUUGCAGUACAUCUUAUAGGGAUAUGAUUUUAUUCUAACAAAUUAAUGACUGAUACACAUUUAAAAAAGCAGAGGAAUAUUUCCUAAAUUAAAAUGAAAUGAUGGGGAAUGAUUGCUAAGAAAAAUAUCCGUAUUUAACAGAACUACCAAUAUAGUAGCUCCUAGUCGAGCUCCUAGUUUAUAAUUGUUUAAUAAAAAAAAAUUUAAAAGGCCGACGGAUACAUAUGCAAGGAUAAAACAAAUUGAUGAUUCAUUUUAAUUCAAUACAAUUUUGGUCCUUUGAUCUCUGUUGUACUGUUGUCUUGUUGUUUCAUAUCACGUCUCCUAAAUGUUAACUUUAGCUUGCUAAUAAUUUAACGUUAUCAAGUAUGAUAUAACAAUACUUUUUACAAUAUUUUUUGUAUAACUUAAACUUUUUUUUUAAAACGAAGUUAAUUCAUUUCUAGUUAACAAUUAGUUUCCCAAAAAUUUACCCUCUUUUUGUUAAAAGGUAAAAUAACAAAAAUACCGAAUUCCGAGGAAAAUCUAGAACAGAAAGUCCAGAAAUCAAAUGACAAUUGUAUUUGUAUUUGUUAUCCUGUUCGUAUCAAAUCUUUCAUAAAAAAAAUUUAAAAAACACUUUAAAAAAGUACACACAUAAUUGAAUAUGAAUGAAAUAUAUGGGAUUUUUCAACAUGAAUGAAAAAUACAUUGAAAUAAUAACAAAUAACGUACAGUUACCUAUAGUUGUGUCAUUUUGGUCUCUUGUGGACAGUUGUCUCAUUGGCAAUAAUACCACAUUUUCUUUUUUAUACAUACAUUACAUCUGUGAUAUUUUGUUUAAGUCCAAGACGCAAAUGCAAGUUGUGCUUCCAGUUGUAAAUACCAAUGGACGGCCAGACGCUGUAGAUAAAAUUGGCAGUCAGAUAUGUAUGGUCCUGUGACUGAAGAUGUCACAGUUGUGCCAGUGAGCGUACCAUAAAAUUCUCUGAAAAUGAAGGAUCUGUUAAAAUUACUAGUAAAACAUCUAUCAAUUAUGUAGUUUUGACUGCCUGCUUUACAUUGGUAAAUAUUUUGGCAUACAUCAGUUUGUAGGUUUUUAGAAUUAUGUUGAUUUCAACAUGUUAAAUUCAUCACACCAUGUCAGUAAAAUCUAUCAUGAACAGAUGUGACAAUAUUCUUGACAUGGUAAAAGAGAGAAUGGCUGACAGUAAAAGGCUAUGAUUUCUACUUCGACAUCCUAAAUGUUAUGAUUUUGAAAUUCUAUUAAUUCCUCCAUUUUGUUAUUUAUUCUAUUUUAUCUUCUUACCAUCUGAGAUGCAAGCACAGACAAAAGACCAUGAGAACACUGACCAAUCACAGGAUAUGCAGAAAGGUGAAAUCGAGCUAAGUGAAAUUGUGAUUUAAAGAGGCGGAUUUAUGGAGAGACGUUGAUAUAUGUUUGGAAUAAUAUUCUGAUCGGACGUUUGUUAAUAUUCUGUUCUCUUCCGUUUAACUUGUAUUAUAUAUCUAAGAUAUCUGAAAAUGUUUCUGCUACACAAAUUCUUAAUAAAGGUUUUAAUUAAAUACUUAGUCAAUCAGAU
RNAcentral lists this long non-coding RNA (2368 nucleotides) under Mytilus galloprovincialis (Mediterranean mussel). Lineage: Eukaryota; Metazoa; Mollusca; Bivalvia; Mytilida; Mytilidae. The record is from RNAcentral.